UCCCUAUGGGGUGCAGCAGGCGCGAAACCUCUGCAAUAGGCGAAAGCCUGACAGGGUUACUCUGAGUGAUCUCCGUUAAGGAGAUCUUUUGGCACCUCUAAAAAUGGUGCAGAAUAAGGGGUGGGCAAGUCUGGUGUCAGCCGCCGCGGUAAUACCAGCACCCCGAGUGGUCGGGACGAUUAUUGGGCCUAAAGCAUCCGUAGCCGGUCUUGCAAGUCUUCCGUUAAAUCCACCUGCUUAACAGAUGGGCUGCGGAGGAUACUAUAAGGCUAGGAGGCGGGAGAGGUAAGAGGUACUACAGGGGUAGGAGUGAAAUCUUGUAAUCCUUGUGGGACCACCAGUGGCGAAGGCGUCUUACCAGAACGGGUCCGACGGUGAGGGACGAAAGCUGGGGGCACGAACCGGAUUAGAUACCCGGGUAGUCCCAGCUGUAAACGAUGCAGGCUAGGUGUUUGGGCGGCCACGUGCUGCUCCUGUGCCGCAGAGAAAUUGUUAAGCCUGCCGCCUGGGGAGUACGGCCGCAAGGCUGAAACUUAAAGGAAUUGGCGGGGGAGCACCACAAGGGGUGAAGCUUGCGGUUUAAUUGGAUUCAACGCCGGAA
This 601-nucleotide ribosomal RNA is filed under the name uncultured archaeon. Its description in RNAcentral is "bacterial SSU rRNA". It matches the Rfam family "Archaeal small subunit ribosomal RNA", at positions 319 to 923 of the family's 1478-position model. The record is from RNAcentral.